AACGGGAGCAGACACAGGGAUUGCCCUAGUAACGGCGAGUGAAGCGGCAACAGCUCAAAUUUGAAAUCUGGCUCCCUUGGGGGUCCGAGUUGUAAUUUGUAGAGGGUGCUUUGGUGUUAGCUGUGGUCUAAGUCCCUUGGAACAGGGCGUCACAGAGGGUGAGAAUCCCGUAUGUGGCCAGCAGCUUCCGCCUUGUAAAGCCCCUUCGACGAGUCGAGUUGUUUGGGAAUGCAGCUCUAAAUGGGAGGUAAAUUUCUUCUAAAGCUAAAUAUUGGCCAGAGACCGAUAGCGCACAAGUAGAGUGAUCGAAAGAUGAAAAGCACUUUGGAAAGAGAGUCAAAAAGCACGUGAAAUUGUUGAAAGGGAAGCGCUUGCAGCCAGACUUGCCCGUAGUUGCUCACCCAGGCCUUGUGUCUGGUGCACUCUUCUGCGGGCAGGCCAGCAUCAGUUCAGGCGGUCGGAUAAAGGCUCUGGGAAUGUGGCUCCUCUCGGGGAGUGUUAUAGCCCAGGGUGCAAUGCGGCCAGCUUGGACUGAGGUCCGCGCUUCUGCUAGGAUGCUGGCGUAAUGGCUGUAAGCGGCCCGUCUUGAAACACGGACCAAGGAGUCUAACAUCUAUGCGAGUGUUUGGGUGUCAAGCCCGAGCGCGCAAUGAAAGUGAACGGAGGUGGGAACCCCUUGGGGUGCACCAUCGACCGAUCCUGAUGUCUUCGGAUGGAUUUGAGUAAGAGCAUAGCUGUUGGGACCCGAAAGAUGGUGAACUAUGCCUGAAUAGGGUGAAGCCAGAGGAAACUCUGGUGGAGCUCGCAGCGGUUCUGACGUGCAAAUCGAUCAUCUUACUCUGCGCGUUAGGGGGGGAAGUGCCAGGUGGUUAUCUUAUCCAUCUGCGUUACUGAGUGUGUCCCCC
RNAcentral lists this ribosomal RNA (905 nucleotides) under Murispora bromicola. RNAcentral describes it as "eukaryotic LSU rRNA". It matches the Rfam family "Eukaryotic large subunit ribosomal RNA", at positions 49 to 932 of the family's 3401-position model. Lineage: Eukaryota; Fungi; Ascomycota; Dothideomycetes; Pleosporales; Amniculicolaceae. The record is from RNAcentral.